RNAcentral lists this unclassified non-coding RNA (296 nucleotides) under uncultured Nitrospiraceae bacterium. Its description in RNAcentral is "contains 16S-23S intergenic spacer region". Lineage: Bacteria; Pseudomonadati; Nitrospirota; Nitrospiria; Nitrospirales; Nitrospiraceae. The record is from RNAcentral.
UCCGGUUUGUCACCGGCAGUCCCAUUAGAGUGCUCAACUGAAUGUAGCAACUAAUGGCAAGGGUUGCUACCUCGUUGGGCUUUCACCCUCCUACUACGUGCAUGUCCAGCCUAGGUAAGGUUCUUCGCGUUGCGUCGAAUUAAACCACAUGCUCCACCGCUUGUGCGGGCCCCCGUCAAUUCCUUUGAGUUUCAACCUUGCGGCCGUACUUCCCAGGCGGGAUACUUACUGCGUUAGCUGCGGCACCGGCGGUAACCCGCCGACACUUAGUAUCCAUCGUUUAAGGCGUGGACUAC